AGAGUUUGAUCAUGGCUCAGAUUGAACGCUGGCGGAAUGCUUUACACAUGCAAGUCGAACGGCAGCAUAGAGAGCUUGCUCUCUGAUGGCGAGUGGCGAACGGGUGAGUAAUAUAUCGGAACGUGCCUAGUAAUGGGGAAUAACUAGCUGAAAGGUUAGCUAAUGCCGCAUACGACCUACGGGUGAAAGCAGGGGAUCUUCGGACCUUGCGUUAUUAGAGCGGCCGAUAUCUGAUUAGCUUGUUGGUGGGGUAAUGGCCUACCAAGGCGACGAUCAGUAGCUGGUCUGAGAGGACGAUCAGCCACACUGGAACUGAGACACGGUCCAGACUCCUACGGGAGGCAGCAGUGGGGAAUUUUGGACAAUGGGGGCAACCCUGAUCCAGCCAUUCCGCGUGAGUGAAGAAGGCCUUCGGGUUGUAAAGCUCUUUCGCAAGAGAAGAAAACUUGCUAUCUAAUAAAUAGUAAGCA
RNAcentral lists this ribosomal RNA (470 nucleotides) under uncultured beta proteobacterium. RNAcentral's name for it is "bacterial SSU rRNA". It matches the Rfam family "Bacterial small subunit ribosomal RNA", at positions 8 to 477 of the family's 1533-position model. The record is from RNAcentral. Lineage: Bacteria; Pseudomonadati; Pseudomonadota; Betaproteobacteria.